This 546-nucleotide long non-coding RNA is filed under the name Astyanax mexicanus (Mexican tetra). RNAcentral's name for it is "lncRNA (ENSAMXG00005009228.1)". Lineage: Eukaryota; Metazoa; Chordata; Actinopteri; Characiformes; Acestrorhamphidae. The record is from RNAcentral.
GUCUAUAGGGGGCGGUUAUAGGGUUUAUAGGGGGUAGUUGGACAAAACCCCACCCUCAUGUUCUUAUUCUUGAUAGUUUUAUAUAUUUAUAUACUCAUUAUUUUUUUUACUGUUUACUUAAUAAUUUAAUUAAUAGCUGCUCUCUUUUCUACUGUCUCACAAUGACACAAUGACACGCUGCCCAUCUGAAAAAAACAAACAAACUGCAACAUCACAACAUCAGGCAUUACUAAGAGCCACACCGCGAGAUCUGCCAUAGUUCUGCUGCAGGUGGAGACUGUCCGGCCUGACUUUUCUACACCACCAACCCAAACUGCGUCCGGCUGCUCUCGCUGCCCGUCUGAAAAAAAACAAACAAAAAAAAAAACUGCAACAUCACAACAUCAGGCAUUGCUAAGAGACAGUUGAACCUUGGUCACAGCUUGGUGUUCCAAAAGGACAGUAAUGAGUGACCUCAUUCUAGGAAAGGAGGAGGCUGCACACAUCACCCAUUAUUUUAAGAACCAAAUUGUCAAUCAAACCUUCCAGUGACCUCCUGACUUCCUG